AGAAGGAGAAAACAUCUCCCCUUUGUAGCAGGCUAAUUUAAUUUGUACCUUCCACCUAGGGGUAAAUAUGUUUGUCUGUCUGUCUGAGCUUUUUGCCUACUUUCUUUUCUCACGGGAAACCCUACUGAGUCGAAAGCAGGAAAUUGCUUAGUGCUCUAACUUUAUUUUAAAGUAAUUUAAUUUUAAACCUUCUCACACCCACCCUAAAGUGAAGCAACUGUUGGAAGCCCCUUGGGAUACCCUUAAUGACUUCUGCAUGUCUCCUGUGUCACAGAUGUCAAAGGCUUCUUGUUUGGAGAUCAUUUUUCUAAAGUCAUCACAAAGCAGUCAAAAACUUUAAAAUAUGACAAAUCCUGUAAAUAUCCUGGUCUUGCAGGGAAAAUUGCUUUGAAGAAUGCAGCAAAUUAUUUUGUAUACUACAUCCAAGGCUACUGAACCAGAAGAAUAAGGACAUACUGCUUGUGAGUUCAGCUGGAUCAAUAGCUCAGCCCUGGGAUUUGCUCGUCUGCUGGAUACUGAAUGAAAAGCACUAAGCUGCCAGUUUGUUCCAUGGAUAUAGAAGACCUCAAUGCAGGCAAGAGACAUUUUUCAUAAGACAGAAAGCAGCUUACCUGUAAAAAUGUUUAGAUAUAUGAGCACACAACAUACAGAGACUAUGAAAUGUACUUGCAGAUAUUGUACGAAAUUCUCCCUUCCUGCCUAUUACUCAAGAGAAAGAAUGUGUAAACACACACACACAUGCACACACACACACACACAACCAUAUACAGAAAUAUAUAUUUGUAGAAUGCCUUUAUUCCAAAGACCUCAAAGCACUCCACAACAUGAUCAAAUCCAUUCCUGCGUCUCUGUGAGUAAAAAGUAAGUGUUUGUGAUUA
Long non-coding RNA from Bubalus bubalis (water buffalo), 878 nucleotides. RefSeq lists it as uncharacterized. The transcript is spliced from 3 exons. The record is from RefSeq and is a predicted model, not a curated record. Lineage: Eukaryota; Metazoa; Chordata; Mammalia; Artiodactyla; Bovidae.